UAUCAAGCUGCCCUCCUGCACAAGAAGAAUAUCCUAAAAUAACAUGACUGGGAUCUCUACGGAAAGGACUCUAGAGAUAGUGCCCAGAGGAGGCAUAGCUCAAGCCCACCUCCUCCAGGAUGCCCUCCUGGCACAGGCCAUCUCAGCCUUUCUGAAGCACCCACACGUUUGACCUUGACCUCCACCCCAGCCUUUUUCCUAUCUGCCUGAGACAAGUGAGUGUGUCUCAAUGGGCUGUCUAGGCAAGAGGACCUUAAGGCCACCUCCUUGGAGCUCCCUGAAAACUCCUCUCCUGGAUGAGGCCACGAGAGGGACACCAGCUGGGCCAAGGGCACCCUGAGAUAUUGUGGGCAGAUGGGAGUUCCCCCCACCGAACUCCUUUGAAACGACUGACGCUGGAAGUCUGAACAAAGGCACCAGGCUUUAGAUUGCAUGGCACUGAUGCACAGGAGCGCUGCCGUGCAACGCUGCUGGGUUUGGGUCACAGCCUCACAGCGACGGGCUCGCCCUGCCCUCCCUGGACCCCUGGACAUUUCCAGCGCUGACAGCACUGUCUCCAGAGGUGCUGACCCAGGGCUUGGAGCCCUCAAAGCCCUGAGUGUCCCCUGUGCCGUAGCCCUCGUCAAGCUCCGUCACCCCAGGGCCCCUGUGCAAGUUCUUUUUUAGAACUCAAACAGCCUUGGGAGAGGUAACCUAUUAAGUGGCUGAGAAACAUUAAAAGCUGUUCAACUGCAUAACCCAGGACCUGAGUUGAAGUCUUCUUAGCUCAGCCAUUUCCUGGCUCUGUGACCUUGAGGCAGCAUUUAAUUCCAUGGAGUCCGCUUCCACUGGAGAAAAAUGGGAAUAUUGAAAGAACCCUGUGAGAGAGACUGGACUGGCAAGAAUUUGAGAUCAAAGAUAGAACAACACUUUGAAAACCACAUACCAUCGUACACCUGCAGAAGAAUAUUGUUUUCCUUGUUGUCCAAACAACUCGUGCAUUUCCAGGACCACUUUCAUGACAGGAGGGCAGAAGAAACCAUGGGGAGCAGGGGUGAUGAGACCUGGAGCAGGGACAUGGACCCACCAAGGGAAGGAAGGUUGGUGACAGGAAGUGAAAUGGCCGCUCCACAGAGCGUUGAUCCCAGCAUUUCUGUCUCUGGCGAGGGGGCUUUGCUUCAUACUUCAAACGUAACUCAGUCAGUCUCUCUCUCUUCUUUCCUCCUCUGCCUGCUCCUCCCCGUCUUCCUUCCUCUCCUUUUCCCUCCUUGCCU
RNAcentral lists this long non-coding RNA (1253 nucleotides) under Equus caballus (horse). Its description in RNAcentral is "lncRNA (ENSECAG00000044429.1)". Lineage: Eukaryota; Metazoa; Chordata; Mammalia; Perissodactyla; Equidae. The record is from RNAcentral.